Molecule: ribosomal RNA, 465 nt
Filed under: uncultured bacterium
Lineage: Bacteria
Description: partial 16S ribosomal RNA
Rfam family: Bacterial small subunit ribosomal RNA
Source: RNAcentral
GAUGAACGCUGGCGGCGUGCUUAACACAUGCAAGUCGAACGGAAAGGCUCCUGCUUGCAGGGGUACUCGAGUGGCGAACGGGUGAGUAACACGUGGGUGAUCUGCCCUGCACUUCGGGAUAAGCCUGGGAAACUGGGUCUAAUACCGGAUAGGACGAUGGUUUGGAUGCCAUUGUGGAAAGUUUUUCGGUGUGGGAUGAGCUCGCGGCCUAUCAGCUUGUUGGUGGGGUAAUGGCCUACCAAGGCGUCGACGGGUAGCCGGCCUGAGAGGGUGUACGGCCACAUUGGGACUGAGAGACGGCCCAGACUCCUACGGGAGGCAGCAGUGGGGAAUAUUGCACAAUGGGCGCGAGCCUGAUGCAGCGACGCCGCGUGGGGGAUGACGGCCUUCGGGUUGUAAACUGCUUUCGCUAGGGACGAAGCGCAAGUGACGGUACCUGGAGAAGAAGCACCGGCUAACUACGUG